GCUGGCUGUUGUGGUGGGCGCCUGUAGUCCCAGCUACUUGGGAGGCUGAGGCAAGAGAAUUGCUUAAGUCCAAGAGUUGAGGCUUGCUAUGAGCUGUGAUGCCAUGGCACUCUACUGAGGGCAACAAAGUGAGAUCCUGUCUUGAAAAAAAAAAGUUCUCUUGUAAAGAGUUUUUUGCUGUUGUUUUUUUGAGACAGAGUCUUAAGCUCUUGCCCUGGGUAGAAUGCUGUGGUGUCACAGCUCACAGCAACCUCCAACUCUUGGACUUAAGUGAUUCUCUUGCCU
Molecule: non-coding RNA, 285 nt
Filed under: Otolemur garnettii (small-eared galago)
Lineage: Eukaryota; Metazoa; Chordata; Mammalia; Primates; Galagidae
Source: RNAcentral